This 4989-nucleotide long non-coding RNA is filed under the name Homo sapiens (human). RNAcentral's name for it is "HSALNT0311998". The record is from RNAcentral. Lineage: Eukaryota; Metazoa; Chordata; Mammalia; Primates; Hominidae.
UGGAAUCUGCUCCUUGGGGCCCACUGUUUGUGGAAUGGAGUCCUUGCUGUGUCUACCCAACCCUACUCCACUCACCUCUCUCCUAUGUCAACUUACUGCCCUCAUCCCUGGCCUCCACUCAUUCUCUUCCUACCCUUUGCCCCUGCUGUUCUCUCUGAACAAAGUUCAGCUCCCUCGUUCCCUGGGUGCUCUAGGGUUAGGGACAAGUUCUUAUUUGCUUACAUGUUCCUCCCACAAGGCCUGGGAGGCCAGCUCUGCAUUUCCUAGCUUGCAGCAGCAUCCCCUGACAUUCCCUGGAAAAAUAUUUGUGAAGCAUCCAUCUGUAGUGUGUGGGAUCCAGAUGAGAGCUGGGUCUUAGUGAGAGGAAUGAGAGGCUUAGAGGUUCCCUCCCUGCAUAACCACCUUGGAAAGUCAGAUGCGGCUCCCCAUUUUGCAGGGGAAAAAUCUGUGAUUGACCUGGCUGAGACCUUCGCCCCAUACGUAAGUUGCCGGCCAGCCAGUGGGUUGGCUGCCCCAGGGCCAGACGGUCGGACUCAGUCACACAGGGUUGCCCUUGGAAGAGGGGCCCUGUUUGGUUUGACCUUCUGUUGUUGUUGUCUUGAAAUUCCAAAUGCAUUUUGAACAAGUGGCACUCCUUUUUUAUUUUGCACUGGGCCCUGUCAAUUAUGAAGCCAGUCCUGCACCCCAGCUCCAAUCUGUGGUCAGCCCUGGCUCAAUGACUUGCUCCAGGCCUUAAAAAAAAAAUUAAUUAAAUCAGCAGUGAGCUGUGGAUGAUGGUAUUUCCCUGAGGCCAGGCUGGUGUGGUGGGUGAGGCAGGAACCCUGAGGGAUGUGGCUGGUGCCUUAGCUCAGAGCUGCAGGGGAAAAACCAUCGCCUUUGCCACUCAGGGUGCUGAACCCCAGCAAACAACCCCUGUGAGAUCCACGUAUACACCUAUGAGGGGUGGGGUGAGGAGGGUUGCUGGGGACCCCCAGGACUUAGAAAGCUGAGCCAGCCUUUCUGCCUUUUAAUUUAUUUAACCAAGGUCUCUGGGUGGAAGAACCUCAUGCAGGUCCUGUUAUAAAAGAGACUACUCAAUAAAGCACAGGUGGCAGGCCAAGAAAAUCCAGGCUGUCUUGGGCGGUCAGCUGGGCCUCCUGAGGCAGAGGACUGGGGUUGUUCCCAAGGCUUCUGGGCAUCCCGAGAGAUCCAAGACUCUGGGGUCCAUCCGGGGAGUGGCUGUGGAGCAGCUAAGAGGGGAAGUGGGCAUUAGACAUGUCCUCUCUGGAAAGAAAAAGGUGAACACCCAGGAGAAGAGCUAGCAGGGAGAAGGAGGAGCGGGCCAAUCACGAAGGAGAAAGGUAAGUGGCUUGUUUGUAUUCUUCAUGGCUGUUAAAGAAAUGCAGGAGGAAGCAGUAGCAUAGGGAGGCUGAAGCCAUUCAGACUUGCAUUCGAAUGUCAGCUCUGUCCAUGCCUCCCUACCCUCUGGAGCUGGAGCCUGGAAACUACAGCCUUUGGACCAAAUCCCACAGCCCUGGGACACACCACGCCCACUUAUUGUCUAUGGCUGUUUCCCACUGAACAGCAGAGUUGAGAUGGGACAGCUGCUUUUGAUCUGGUGUUUCCUCCUCUGCAAAAUGAGCGUUACAUUAGAAUCCUCCUCCAUGAACUUGUGAUAUCAUAAACGAGGUGAUACUUGCAAGGUGCUUGGCAAAUGCCUCGUACAGAGUUGAGCGCUUGGGGCUGGCUACCAGGGCUGCCACAUACAACAGGCUGGUUGGGUACCUCACAGCAAGUCCUCAACUCCUAUAGAUUAAACUGUGAAUGGUGCCCCUGGAAUGGCAGUGUGACCACCCUGUUAGCUGCUAUUAACAAUCACUAUUAAUAAAUCCCAUUCCUAGUCCUAGAUGGAGCCUUCUCAUCCUCAGAAACCACACUGGUUAAAUCAGUGGAUCUUAACUUUGGCUGCAUAUCGGCAUCACCACAGGAAGUUUCAAAAAUUCCAGUGCCUGAGUCCCACCACAGGGAUUCUGAUUUAAUGGGUUUGGGGGGCGGCUUGGCUUUGGGGAUUUUUAAAAGCUCCCUAGGUGAUUCCUAGAGUCAGCCAACUUUGCAAACCAUGGAGUUAAAAACCCAAAACACAAACUUAUUUGCUUCGGUCCUGAAGGAUCUCAGCUGACUGUAGUUGGCCUGGUUAUUGUGAGCAAAUCUGAUUAAGGUCACAGUUCUUAGCAGCUGUGUGAUCUUGGGAUGGUCUCUAACCUCUGGGAUGCUCCUCUGUAGAAUUGUGAUGCUGUGAAGAUUGGAUGAGCUAAAGAGCUGGGCAUGGGGUGGAGGCCACCAGUAGGCGACAGCUAUUGAGUGUCUUGCAUGACUAUAGGAUGGCAAAUAAUUCUCAAUAUGCAGUUUAUGGGACUGAUGUUGUUUUUCCUGGGGUGGGGAUAAUAAGGGGUCUGAGGAAAGAUUUGGAACCCCUUGCUUGGUUCCUCCCUGGUUCUGUUGGUGACCCAAGAGGUCCCAGAGCUCCUUGCCACAGGCUCCACAGGAUGUUGGCCCCACACCAGGCAAGGCUCAGCAGAGAUCACUGCUGCUCCCACGGAGAGUGCACCGGGCCACUGGGGCAUGCAUGGCUAAUGCAGGGUGGCAGAUUUGAAACCAAACACUGGUGCCUGCAGCCACAGGAGAGAGUAAGGAGAGACAGAAGGAGAGCUGCACUGAUGGAGUCUCGGGGCCCAGUUCGUCUUGACAAUAGCCAUGGGACCCCAGGCUGUCUAAGGCCUCAGUGUCCCUUCCACUUGCCUCUCCACUGUUCUGGUAGUCAUGUUUCUGUCUUCGAUGGCAUCAGUUGUAACAAAUGACACAUAAGCCAGUAAAGCAAUGGUUAAAGCAGAUGUUUUAGUGGAGACAGAGUGGGUUUGAUUCAUGGUGGCAAUCCUUCCCAGCUGUGUUACCUUGGGCAAGUAGCUUAACCUCUCUGAGCCUCUAUACAGCAAGGAUAACAGCCUAUUCAUGGAGCAGUUUGGAGGGUGAAGUGAUACAAUGGCAUGAUGUGCUUAGCCCAGCGCCUGGCAGAGUGAUGCUCACCGAAGACAAACUAUGGUACUUCUGUCCUGAAGAAACCCUGUGGUCACCACUAGAAUUUGAUCUGGAUCUCUAAAUCACCCUUGGAGGCAGCCAGUGGUACCCUGUUUUAUAGAUGAGAAAACUAAGGCUCAGAGAGGCCAAGCUACUUGUCUCGAUACACAGAGAGUAAGCAGCAAAGCCAGGACCUUGGACGCCAAAUUCAAUGCUCUUUCUACCUCUCCACUGUCUUCAAGGUGCAAAAUGUCUUUUAGUUGACAAAGCAGGGUUAUGUCCCUUUUCUCUCUCUAGAUAGUCAAGAAACCCCAAUGAAGAGGCUGUGUGAGCCCAUUUUAUAGAUAAGAACAUGGAGGCCUGCUAACUUGAGGACUCCUAGCCUACGUGAAAUGCAAACUCUCACUGGGGAGCCCCAGCCUGGCCCUAGCAGCUUUGGGCUUAAGCUAGAGUCCACGGGCCUGUCUGGCCUCAGGCUGGUCUCUGUUUAGGAGAGGACCAGCUGGUGGCCUUCCCUCCUGUGCCCCCACUUCCUCAUUACUGUUCAAGCUGCUGGGUUCCGAACACAUUCAGAACCCUCUUGGUUCAGCAUUUAAUGGGAUGCCAGGGCAGAGGAGAAGAGAGGCUUUCAAAAUAACGACUGGCAAAGGAAAAACAGGCAUUCAGUAAAAGUGACAAGCACGGUCACUGGAUUUCCUGACCCUUCUGGCUUUUUUCCUCUCCAUGGGGAAAGUGCCUAUUUGUAUUUCACUGGCCAGCAGCCAAAGAACAGUGUAUCUCGGAGCCACCUCCAGAUCUCCCAGCAGCUUCUGGUCGAUGCUCGGAAGCCCCCAGCAGAGCUGCUUGUCCAUUUGGAUGCAAUGACUCAAGGCUGACUUCCUGAACAUUUUGCCUCAGGUCCGUUGCAACUUCCUACCUCGGAAGGAGAAUGUUGGGUGGACAUUUAGGAUUUUGAACCAAUUAAAUAGCAGAGUCCAGGGCUAGACAUGGAGGAUACUUAGCAAGGUUAGUGGACAGCAUUGUGCAGUUGAUCUGGAACAAGCAUCAGCAGACCUGGAAUCCCUGCUGGCUCAUUAGUGGCAUGAUGUCAGCCACUUUACCUGGCAGAUGCCUCUGCAGGGAAAAUUCCAGCAGGUACUCACCACCAACAGAACUAAGAGGGCCACUCAGGAUCUAAGCCACCCAGAGAUGCAGGCGUGGGGGCUGCCUUGAAGCUCAAAGCUACUUGGGUUUGGUAGCAGUUUCAAAAAGUGACACACCCAAUCCUACAGCUCUUGAUUUCUGGCCCAAUCUCAGACUUGCCUUGUAUUGCAAAGUCCUAAAGCCAAAUUCACCAGAAAGGCAGGCCCUUCACACGUUAACCUGCGUGCACUAUGUGCCAUGCACUGUGCUAAGCACCUAGCAGCCAUAUCUCAUGAAAUAUGAAAUUCUUACGACAGACUGAAGAGGUGGGUACUGUUAUUAUCCUCUUUUUACAGUCAAGGAAACUGAAGUUCAGGGAAGUCAUCUGAUUUCCCCAAAUCACACAGCCGGUGAAGGAAAGAGCUUGAAUCUGAGCCAAACUCUGAAGCUGAAAUCUGUGUUCUGUCUGUUGUGCUGAGAAUUAAACCCCCAUACUGUGUGAUAAUUGACUUAGGUGAGGCUAUAUCAUGCAUUAAUUCAGAUUCACCUGAGGAUGCAGCAGAAAAAGAUCAACAAGAAUGCAGGGCUAUGCCAGGGGGCUCGCUUCUUUGUCUCCUACCCUUUUCCGAAACCCAGGGUGCCUGGAGGCAUCUCCCGUAUCAUUUUAUGGAUGCUGGGACAUAGCCCGGGUACCUAAACUCAAAGCACUCAGGUCCACUGACAGCCCACUUCAGUGUACCGGGUCUGCCCUCCUUCCCUUCCACCUCCUCCCGAACGGCACCGCUCUCAACAGCAGAUGAAACAGAACAGAGA